Molecule: long non-coding RNA, 163 nt
Organism: Balaenoptera ricei (Rice's whale)
Lineage: Eukaryota; Metazoa; Chordata; Mammalia; Artiodactyla; Balaenopteridae
Exons: 3
Source: RefSeq, a predicted model, not a curated record
GGACAUGGAGGAGUGACCAGGAAGCACCAGGAAUUACUUCAAUGCCUGGCACAAAAGACACCAAUAAAUGAUUGCUGAUAUUUUAACCAGCUUCCUGGCGGGCUCCAGGAGCUCCGGAUUGCUCUACACCUGGGAAGUUUGCUACGGAAGCCUUAAAGGAGCC